CGUAUUUCUCAUUUUUCAGGGUGACCCUGGAUUGCAAGGUCCUCCUGGAAUGCGUGGACGUAAUGGAGAUGACGGGGCUCCUGGUCCCACCGGCGAACCUGGAGAAGAGGGGCCCGCAGGAGAACAGGGACCAGUCGGUAUUCCGGGAGCACGUGGGUUACCAGGAAUCAAGGGCGACAGGGUAAGUUCAGUAUCUUCUCAGCAAAGCACCCGGACUGCGCACUGUUUGACGGUAUUUUGACAAAACAAGUGUUCUCAGGUAACAUACAAAACGAUAUAAUUAACAUUGCAUUCUUCUCGAGAUAUUUCCUUAACAAUGUAUGUUACUCAAAUCAACAAUGUGAUUAACACUUAGAAUGUUUGGUACAAUACUUUUAAAAGUUAACUAUCAUCUUUCGUUACUACAAGUAGUAUAUCCGAGAUGGCUAAAUGAAUGAGCUAUGAAUACCGAGCAGGUUUAAUGAGAUGCGGAUCACGUAGGUAGAUGUAGGGGGAUCAAUGAGAUGUAGGCCGUGUAGUGAUUGGUUAUGCAAGCAUGGAUUUGAAGACUAAAUGUGUGAUUAAGAGAGUUGUGAGUAUUGUAGUGGAGGUAACUGACCGCCCAACCAUCCGGGUGG
Molecule: long non-coding RNA, 617 nt
Organism: Orbicella faveolata
Lineage: Eukaryota; Metazoa; Cnidaria; Anthozoa; Scleractinia; Merulinidae
Source: RefSeq, a predicted model, not a curated record